Molecule: ribosomal RNA, 678 nt
Filed under: uncultured crenarchaeote
Lineage: Archaea; Thermoproteati; Thermoproteota
Description: bacterial SSU rRNA
Rfam family: Archaeal small subunit ribosomal RNA
Source: RNAcentral
AGUCAACAUGCCCAGGGGACGUGGAUAACCUCGGGAAACUGAGGAUAAACCACGAUAAGUCACUACUUCUGGAAUGGGUAAUGACUCAAAUCUACAUGGCCCCUGGAUUGGACUGCGGCCGAUCAGGCUGUUGGUGAGGUAAUGGCCCACCAAACCUGUAACCGGUACGGGCUCUGAGAGGAGGAGCCCGGAGAUGGGCACUGAGACAAGGGCCCAGGCCCUAUGGGGCGCAGCAGGCGCGAAACCUCUGCAAUAGGCGAAAGCCUGACAGGGUUACUCUGAGUGAUUUCCGUUAAGGAGAUCUUUUGGCAUCUCUAAAAAUGGUGCAGAAUAAGGGGUGGGCAAGUCUGGUGUCAGCCGCCGCGGUAAUACCAGCACCCCGAGUGGUCGGGACGUUUAUUGGGCCUAAAGCAUCCGUAGCCGGUUCUACAAGUCUUCCGUUAAAUCCACCUGCUUAACAGAUGGGCUGCGGAAGAUACUAUAGAGCUAGGAGGCGGGAGAGGCAAGCGGUACUCGAUGGGUAGGGGUAAAAUCCGUUGAUCCAUUGAAGACCACCAGUGGCGAAGGCGGCUUGCCAGAACGCGCUCGACGGUGAGGGAUGAAAGCUGGGGGAGCAAACCGGAUUAGAUACCCGGGUAGUCCCAGCUGUAAACGAUGCAGACUCGGUGAUGAAUUGGC